Molecule: ribosomal RNA, 246 nt
Filed under: uncultured bacterium
Lineage: Bacteria
Description: partial small subunit ribosomal RNA
Rfam family: Bacterial small subunit ribosomal RNA
Source: RNAcentral
AGAAUCAACGCUGGCGGCGUGCCUAACACAUGCAAGUCGAACGAGAAAGUGGUAGCAAUACCAUGAGUACAGUGGCGCACGGGUGAGUAACACGUGACUAACCUACCCUGGAGUGGGGGAUAAACUGAGGGAAACCUUAGCUAAUACCGCAUAAUACCUACGGGUCAAAGGAGCAAUUCGCUUCAGGAGGGGGUCGCGGCCGAUUAGUUAGUUGGCGGGUAAUGGCCCACAAGACAGUGAUCGGUA